GUGAUCCGGUGGUUCUGCGUGGAAGGGCCAUCGCUCAACGGAUAAAAGCUACCCUGGGGAUAACAGGCUUAUCUCCCCCAAGAGUCCACAUCGACGGGGAGGUUUGGCACCUCGAUGUCGGCUCAUCACAUCCUGGGGCUGUAGUAGGUCCCCAGGGUUGGGCUGUUCGCCCAUUAAAGUGGUACGCGAGCUGGGUUCAGAACGUCGUGAGACAGUUCGGUCCCUAUCCGUCGCAGGCGUAGGAAAUUUGAG
This 252-nucleotide ribosomal RNA is filed under the name Clostridioides difficile. RNAcentral's name for it is "partial 23S ribosomal RNA". It matches the Rfam family "Bacterial large subunit ribosomal RNA", at positions 2415 to 2666 of the family's 2925-position model. The record is from RNAcentral. Lineage: Bacteria; Bacillati; Bacillota; Clostridia; Peptostreptococcales; Peptostreptococcaceae.